UAUGUAUUGGUGUAAAGAGCAUAAAAAGUUUUGAUCUUAGAGGAGACGGUGUAAUUCCGUUAUACAUAA
Molecule: transfer RNA, 69 nt
Filed under: Tetralia glaberrima
Lineage: Eukaryota; Metazoa; Arthropoda; Malacostraca; Decapoda; Tetraliidae
Also listed under: 1 other name
Description: tRNA-Gln
Source: RNAcentral